UACGAAGGGGGCUAGCGUUGCUCGGAAUCACUGGGCGUAAAGCGCACGUAGGCGGCUUUUUAAGUCAGGGGUGAAAUCCUGGAGCUCAACUCCAGAACUGCCUUUGAUACUGAGAAGCUUGAGUCCGGGAGAGGUGAGUGGAACUGCGAGUGUAGAGGUGAAAUUCGUAGAUAUUCGCAAGAACACCAGUGGCGAAGGCGGCUCACUGGCCCGGUUCUGACACUGAGGAGCGAAAGCGUGGGGAGCGAUCCGG
Molecule: ribosomal RNA, 253 nt
Filed under: uncultured bacterium
Lineage: Bacteria
Description: partial 16S ribosomal RNA
Rfam family: Bacterial small subunit ribosomal RNA
Source: RNAcentral